GAUACCCAUAGACAGAUACCAGAGAAAAGUCUCUGUGAAUAAAACGGAUAUUAUCUCAAAUAUAAUCUCGAUUACAGAUUGCAGAUAACGAGGAUAUGAAGAACAUGAAGAUGGACUGGUUUCACAUGCAGAUGUUGCAGCAUCUGCAUCUGAGGUUGAGAAGACACUCAGUCUACCUGCCAAUCCUCAUCUGAUUUUGCUGGUCAACAUUUUUGACUGCAGUUGCAACAGUGUUUGCUGUGCACUACAUCUUCAACCUGCAGUAUCAAGAGGCGGCUUGUUGCACGUUAGAGUUUUUUCAAAGAUGAUUCUAUGGAAUAAACCCAGAAAGAGGCUCAAAGACCUGCCGAGGCAAGGUAGUCUCCAAGAAGACGGGGAAGGUGGUGAAUAAGAAGUCCACUACAGUCAAUCCAAAGGUUGCCACUCUACAAAAAAAUCGAAUGGACUUCAAAUGGGACUUCAUC
This is a long non-coding RNA of Carassius gibelio (silver crucian carp), 464 nucleotides long. RefSeq lists it as uncharacterized. Lineage: Eukaryota; Metazoa; Chordata; Actinopteri; Cypriniformes; Cyprinidae. The transcript is spliced from 5 exons. The record is from RefSeq and is a predicted model, not a curated record.